AAGGUUCUGACAAGCAGUGCUCCCAGCCCUGAGCCGGGGCGCCUCGCACACAGUUGCCCUCCUGCCCCUUCUCCUGUGGCCAGGAGCCCCUGCUUCUCUCUCUGCCAGCCCCUCUGCAUGGGCGCACUCUGGAGCCCUGAGAAGAUAGUGCCUGGGAUUUAUCCCUCCACAAAGCCUCUCACAAGGGAUCAACGCUGCUUUCUGCAUGCAAAACUCAGGCACCUGCACUCGAGUUUGUAAGUUUAAUCCCACUCAUCUUGCUCCAGUUUGUUUCACUGCUGUCUGCUCUCUCUUCUCCUGUCCCAUUAUUUAUCACGGGAAAGCUGGUGAGUUUCCUUUCCUGUUGUGGUGACUGAAGUGAAGAGAGAAAGGUUUUUGAGAGCUCCCACUUGGACUGACUGCACCCAGAAAACCUGGACCGUAUAGCGCUAAAAAGAAUUGCAACUCUGAAGAUGUUCCAGGGCGCACCUAGCUGUCAACCGCAGACAGUUCCUCAUCUGACCGGAAGGGACGCUGUGUGCGAGACUCAAGGCUACCCCGAUCUGUGACCGACCCUACCUCACCUAGUACCUUGCAGUCACAGGUCACAGUGCUUCUCACCUGCUGGAGGCUGAACUGAGACCAACAGAAUGCUGCGGCCAUGGCCACGUCUGAGAGGCAGGUACCCCCCACCCCCAUUCAGUUCUACUUGGUGAGACUCAGUGGAGAGAAAUGCCAGCACCCAUCCUGAAUGAGACUUGGGGAGGCUUGUUGGUCAGGCCUCAGAACGGGAGGAGA
This is a long non-coding RNA of Fukomys damarensis (Damara mole-rat), 777 nucleotides long. RefSeq lists it as uncharacterized. The transcript is spliced from 6 exons. The record is from RefSeq and is a predicted model, not a curated record. NCBI's taxonomy places the organism in Eukaryota, Metazoa, Chordata, Mammalia, Rodentia, Bathyergidae.